This 79-nucleotide non-coding RNA is filed under the name bovine gut metagenome. The record is from RNAcentral.
CAAUGGGGUGCUGCCGGAAGGCGGCUGAGAUGAUACCCUUGAACCUGAUCGGGAUAAUGCCCGCGGAGGAAUUGUUAUG